Molecule: long non-coding RNA, 484 nt
Organism: Manis pentadactyla (Chinese pangolin)
Lineage: Eukaryota; Metazoa; Chordata; Mammalia; Pholidota; Manidae
Exons: 2
Source: RefSeq, a predicted model, not a curated record
UGUUGAGUUUUUCCUCAGUUGUUUGUAUGGCAAGAGUUAAAUAUCCUGCUAUAUAAUAGUUAUGGCCAGAAAACAGUUCCAGGAACUCUCAGUACCAUAUUGGUUGCUUUUAAUUCCAGAGACAGAGAAAUAGUUAAGUAUAAUCCUUUCUUUCCCUUAAGUCGCUUUUAGUUGUAUUGCCAUGCCAGAGUGUAGGAGUUGGAAAAGACUGAGGUUGGUGUGGAGCGGAUUUGACCCGGACCUUGCAGACUAGAGUAGGAACUUGAUUAAUGUGGCCUGAGGUUUGGGGCAAGAUGAUUCCUCAUUGUGAAGGGCCAUCUUGAGCUUCGUAGAGUGCCCACUAGAUGCAAGUAGCACACAUCCACUGUCUCCUGUUGUGAAAACCAAACGUGUCUCCAAAUUGCCAAAUGUCGCCCCGGGGUGCAAAAUCACCAUCAGUUGAUAACCCCUGCAUUAGAAGGAAUAAAGAUGUCGUGAACUCUGA